Small nuclear RNA from Nannospalax galili (Upper Galilee mountains blind mole rat), 103 nucleotides. The record is from Ensembl. NCBI's taxonomy places the organism in Eukaryota, Metazoa, Chordata, Mammalia, Rodentia, Spalacidae.
GUAUUUUGGCAGAACAUAUACUAAAAUUGGAAUGAUACAGAAAAUAUUAUCAUGGCCCCUGUAUAAGGAUAACAGGCAAAUUCAUGAAGCACUGUAUGUUUAA